This 271-nucleotide ribosomal RNA is filed under the name unidentified marine bacterioplankton. RNAcentral's name for it is "partial 16S ribosomal RNA". It matches the Rfam family "Bacterial small subunit ribosomal RNA", at positions 40 to 339 of the family's 1533-position model. RNAcentral also lists the same sequence under 1 other name. The record is from RNAcentral.
CGGCAGGCUUAACACAUGCAAGUCGAACGGGCACUUCGGUGCUAGUGGCAGACGGGUGAGUAACACGUGGGAACGUACCUUUCGGUUCGGAAUAAUACAGGGAAACUUGUACUAAUACCGGAUACGCCCUUCGGGGGAAAGAUUUAUCGCCGAUAGAUCGGCCCGCGUCUGAUUAGCUAGUUGGUGAGGUAAUGGCUCACCAAGGCGACGAUCAGUAGCUGGUCUGAGAGGAUGAUCAGCCACACUGGGACUGAGACACGGCCCAGACUCC